Condylostylus longicornis is the source of this 95-nucleotide non-coding RNA. The record is from the annotation of a RefSeq genome assembly. Lineage: Eukaryota; Metazoa; Arthropoda; Insecta; Diptera; Dolichopodidae.
GCCUUCUUAGCUUAGAUGGUAGAGCGGCGAAAAGUCAUUGGUAGAGCGUUCGCUUUGUAAGCGAAAGGUCAUUGGUUCGAUUCCGAUAGAAGGCU